ACAGUUUCUCUGUCUUUUGGCUAAGAUCAGAUAAAGUGUGGUCUCUGUUCUUAUUGGUUUAAUAUCUGUUAUGUCCUCAAUCUGAGGACAGUAUAUUAAUAAGUGGAUUUUUGUAUCAAAGAAAUGGAAUGGAAUUUUUCUCUGCCCAUUAUACUCAUUGUAGUACCUUCAAGAAUGGUGCAUCCUUC
Small nuclear RNA from Perognathus longimembris pacificus (Pacific pocket mouse), 188 nucleotides. RefSeq annotates it as U2 spliceosomal RNA. The record is from RefSeq and is a predicted model, not a curated record. NCBI's taxonomy places the organism in Eukaryota, Metazoa, Chordata, Mammalia, Rodentia, Heteromyidae. The transcript has a single exon.